This 155-nucleotide ribosomal RNA is filed under the name uncultured fungus. Its description in RNAcentral is "5.8S ribosomal RNA". It matches the Rfam family "5.8S ribosomal RNA". Rfam says of the family: 5.8S ribosomal RNA (5.8S rRNA) is a component of the large subunit of the eukaryotic ribosome. It is transcribed by RNA polymerase I as part of the 45S precursor that also contains 18S and 28S rRNA. Functionally, it is thought that 5.8S rRNA may be involved in ribosome translocation. The record is from RNAcentral. Lineage: Eukaryota; Fungi.
AACUUUCAACAAAGGAUCUCUUGGCUCUCGCAUCGAUGAAGAACGCUGCGAAGCGCGAAAUGUAGUGUGAAUCGCAGAACAUUGUGAAUCAUCGAAUCUUUGAACGCACAUUGCGCCUCCUGUAACAGGGAGGCAUGCCUGUCUGAGUCUCAUUU